This 549-nucleotide ribosomal RNA is filed under the name Triticum aestivum (bread wheat). RNAcentral describes it as "partial small subunit ribosomal RNA". Lineage: Eukaryota; Viridiplantae; Streptophyta; Magnoliopsida; Poales; Poaceae. The record is from RNAcentral.
AUGGCCCCACCGCAAUGUUUCGACAACGUCUCUGGCCAGAAUGGCCAUGUGGCGGUGGUGGUAGACACGCCGGAGAAGGAGAUGCAACGCCGCAGCCUGCUCGAUGCUGGCGAGUUCCGGCGCCAGGGUCACCAGGUAGUCGACUUCAUCGCCGAGUAUUACGAUGGCAUGGGCGACUACCCCGUGCACCCCAGCGUUACCCCCGGCUUCCUCCGCAACUUGAUUCCCGCGGACGCACCGUCAAGCCCUGAGCCGGACGCGUUCAGCUCCGCGCUCAAGGACGUCCGGGACAUCAUCCUCCCGGGCAUGACGCACUGGCAAAGCGCCCGUCACCUGGCGCACUUCCCGGCGUCGAGCAGCACCGUCGACGCACUAGGGGAGGCGCUCACCGCCGGAAUAAACGUCGUCCCGUUCACGUGGGCUGCCUCGCCGGCCGCCACUGAGCUUGAGAUGCUGGUCGUGGACUGGCUCGGCAAGGCGUUGCACCUGCCGGAGAGCCUCCUCUUCGCCGGUGGUGGCGGUGGAACUCUUCUUGGCACCUCGUGCUAG